GAAACGACUGCUAAGACUGGAUAGGAAGAUAAAAGGCAUCUUUUAUCUUUUAAAAGACCUAGUAAUAGGUAUGCUUUAGGAGGGGCUUGCGCCAUAUUAGUUAGUUGGUAGGGUAAUGGCCUACCAAGACGAUGAUGUGUAGCUGGACUGAGAGGUUGAACAGCCACAUUGGGACUGAGACACGGCCCAAACUCCUACGGGAGGCAGCAGUAGGGAAUUUUCGGCAAUGGAGGAAACUCUGACCGAGCAACGCCGCGUGAAUGACGAAGUACUUCGGUAUGUAAAGUUCUUUUAUCAAGGAAGAAAAGCAAAUGGCGAACCAUUUGUUUGCCGGUACUUGAUGAAUAAGCCCCGGCUAAUUAUGUGCCAGCAGCCGCGGUAAGACAUAAGGGGCAAGUGUUAUCCGGAAUUAUUGGGCGUAAAGGGUGCGUAGGCGGUCUAGUAAGUCAGUGGUGUAAUGGCAACGCUUAACGUUGUCCGGCUAUUGAAACUGCUAAACUUGAGUUAGAUAGAGGCGAGUGGAAUUCCAUGUGUAGCGGUAAAAUGCGUAAAUAUAUGGAGGAACACCGGAGGCGUAGGCGGCUCGCUGGGUCUUAACUGACGCUGAGGCACGAAAGCGUGGGGAGCAAACAGGAUUAGAUACCCUGGUAGUCCACGCCGUAAACGAUGAGUACUAAGUGUCGGGUUAAACCGGUACUGAAGUCAACACAUUAAGUACUCCGCCUGAGUAGUACGUACGCAAGUAUGAAACUUAAAGGAAUUGACGGGACUCCGCACAAGCGGUGGAUCAUGUUGUUUAAUUCGAAGAUACCCGAAAAACCUUACCAGGUCUUGACAUGUUUUUGCAAAAUGAUAGUAAUAUCGUGGAGGUUACCAGAAACACAGGUGGUGCAUGGUUGUCGUCAGCUCGUGUCGUGAGAUGUUAGGUUAAGUCCUAAAACGAGCGAAACCCUUAUCGUUAGUUGCCAGCACGUUAUGGUGGGGACUUUAACGAGACUGCCAAUGAUAAAUUGGAGGAAGGUGAGGAUCACGUCAAAUCAGCAUGCCCCUUAUGACCUGGGCUACAAACGUGAUACAAUGGCUGUUACAAAGGGUAGCUGAAACGCAAGUUCUUGGCCAAUCCCCAAAAACAGUCCCAGUCCGGAUUGAAGUCUGCAACUCGACUUCAUGAAGUUGGAAUCGCUAGUAAUCGCGAAUCAGCAUGUCGCGGUGAAUACGUUCUCGGGUUUGUACACACCGCCCGUCA
This 1246-nucleotide ribosomal RNA is filed under the name Sesame phyllody phytoplasma. Its description in RNAcentral is "bacterial SSU rRNA". It matches the Rfam family "Bacterial small subunit ribosomal RNA", at positions 153 to 1399 of the family's 1533-position model. Lineage: Bacteria; Bacillati; Mycoplasmatota; Mollicutes; Acholeplasmatales; Acholeplasmataceae. The record is from RNAcentral.